UUGUUCCCUCAUCACCUGCCAUUCUCAGGAGGACAGGAGAGGGCCCAGCUCAUCACUUGACACAUCUGCGGCUUGGCUCCCCUUAGGUCAAGGGUGCAUCAUCUUGCAGCCAAGCUGUGGCUUAGAGGGCACUGGGACAAAGCAGUCCUGCCCACUUGGGCAGCAGGGGCGAGAAGUGGGCAGUUUCCUGUGAACAUCCUGAUCUUUCUCCACGUUCACAGUCAACCUUCUGUUUGGUUGGUCCCCCGUUUCUAGCCCCUUGACCCCAACAAGUAAAGUACUGGGUCAUGACAUCAAAUGUUCCAGAUAUAGAAAGAGAAUCCUUCACUUCUGCAUUGCAUAUUACUUAGUUGUCAUUCUAGUUGAUGUAUCAACCAAGUAUUGUGUGUAGAUUUAGGUCUAGGUCUGAAUUUCUUCUGAAUGGUCUGCUAAAAUCAGAUUUCUGAGCCUGCAUGCUGAGAACCCAUUCUAAGACUAGAACAAUUGCAUCAAGAUGUGGAGGACCAUCAGGCCCUGCCUGAACAACCAGCCUUGAUUCUAGCUCUUUCCCACCCUCUCGUAGUGUUUUACAGCCACAGUCUUCACAGAAAAGUACUGUACAGCUAACCAUGUGGAUAAGCUUCCUGGCCCAAGAGAUUGGGUACAGAUUCUACAGGAUCAAAUUAAACUGGCCAGAAGAAGGUUAAAAAGAGGCUCAGAGAUUGCGGACAGUGAUGAAAGACUGGAUGGCAUGUCUCUACCACCAACAGGUACUUGUGGUGGGCCCUGCACUGUUCUGCCGGGUGGGAGUGCAGCGGUGACCCUAGUCUUGCAGAGCUCACCUCAGACAAUGUCACAAGAAAAGGGACAGAUGGCAGAACCCUGGGAGGAGCAGCAUCUCGUGCUCCUGAACAGCCUUACCAGAGAGAGAGCUGAAACAGGAGCUUUGUCCCAAACCAGCCAAGACUUCAAGCACCAUUCAUGCCUCAUAACUCAGGUCUCAGCUACACUUCAUCAUCAGAGAGGGAUUCGCAACUUUCCCACGCCAGGCUCAAUCAAGUCACGGUCUCUUACCCUUCACAUCGCUUGCCUCUCUCUGAAAUUAUCUUGCUUAUUUAUGUGUGUGUGUGUCACCCAUCUUUCCACUGGAAUCUGAGCCUUGUGAUGUCAGGCUGUUAAGAUUUCAGGCCCUGGUGAAAACAUGUUCAGGAUGCCCUCUCUCCCCUUUGCCCACCAAGAGUGGACUGAUUAAAGUUGGACCUGAGGUUUCCAUGAAUAUGCAACCGAGUCGUUCUGACUACAGUGAGUCCUGGCCUCCCAGUGCUGCCAGUUACCAGAAGUGACUCCCCUUCUCCCAUCAGCCCAAACCCAGAGCCUUUAUCACAGAACCCAAGACUGAGAGGAGGGUCAGGCUGGUUGGACAGUGGCCUUAUCAUAGGAUGGAUCAGGAGCCUUUUACAGCGCUCUCCUUUCUGCUGUAUCCCAUUGUCUUGGAUCACAUGGACUUGCCUUUUCCCCUAAUACCGCCCCCUCACCGCUCUUCUAUAAUUGGAGAAAUUGUGUCAAUAGAUCGACCAAAGAGAUGCAAGUUGUACUCCAUGAGAAUUUAAUAAACGCUAGUGAUUCAAAGCAACUUGAAUUUACACAGAUCAACUCCUAUUAUGUUUUGUAACCUCGAAUGCGUGAAAUUGAUUAUUCCCCCGAAAGUAAUAUAUACAGAUAUGUGUGUAUAUACAUAUUUGUUUAUUUCUGUUAUUGGUGAAAUUAAAAAGAAUGUUUAAAU
This 1762-nucleotide small RNA is filed under the name Pongo abelii (Sumatran orangutan). Its description in RNAcentral is "processed transcript". Lineage: Eukaryota; Metazoa; Chordata; Mammalia; Primates; Hominidae. The record is from RNAcentral.